AGCGAACGCUGGCGGCAUGCUUAACACAUGCAAGUCGCACGGUUCAUGGUUUCGGCCAUGGGCAGUGGCGGACGGGUGAGUAACGCGUAGGUAUCUAUCCUGGGUGGGGGAUAACAGAGGGAAACUUCUGCUAAUACCGCAUGACACCUGAGGGUCAAAGGCGCGAGUCGCCUUGGGAGGAGCCUGCGUCUGAUUAGCUUGUUGGUGGGGUAACGGCCUACCAAGGCGAUGAUCGGUAGCUGGUCUGAGAGGAUGAUCAGCCACAUUGGGACUGAGACACGGCCCAAACUCCUACGGGAGGCAGCAGUGGGGAAUAUUGGACAAUGGGCGCAAGCCUGAUCCAGCAAUGCCGCGUGUGUGAAGAAGGUUUUCGGAUUGUAAAGCA
Molecule: ribosomal RNA, 385 nt
Filed under: uncultured bacterium
Lineage: Bacteria
Description: bacterial SSU rRNA
Rfam family: Bacterial small subunit ribosomal RNA
Source: RNAcentral